This 500-nucleotide ribosomal RNA is filed under the name uncultured bacterium. RNAcentral's name for it is "partial 16S ribosomal RNA". It matches the Rfam family "Bacterial small subunit ribosomal RNA", at positions 29 to 523 of the family's 1533-position model. The record is from RNAcentral.
AUUGAACGCUGGCGGCAUGCCCUACACAUGCAAGUCGAACGGCAGCACGGGGGCAACCCUGGUGGCAAGUGGCGAACGGGUGAGUAAUGCAUCGGAACGUGUCCUCUUGUGGGGGAUAACCAGUCGAAAGAUUGGCUAAUACCGCAUGAGAUCGCAAGAUGAAAGCGGGGGACCGCAAGGCCUCGCGCGAGAGGAGCGGCCGAUGCCGGAUUAGCUAGUUGGUGGGGUAACGGCCUACCAUGGCGACGGUCCGUAGCUGGUCUGAGAGGACGACCAGCCACACUGGGACUGAGACACGGCCCAGACUCCUACGGGAGGCAGCGGUGGGGAAUUUUGGACAAUGGGCGCAAGCCUGAUCCAGCCAUGCCGCGUGUGUGAAGAAGGCCUUCGGGUUGUAAAGCACUUUCGGACGGAACGAAAUCGCGCGGACGAACAUUCCGCGUGGAUGACGGUACCGUAAGAAGAAGCACCGGCUAACUACGUGCCAGCCGCCGCGGUAA